This is a small nucleolar RNA of Sorex araneus (European shrew), 133 nucleotides long. Ensembl annotates it as small nucleolar RNA, H/ACA box 13. Its record names the gene SNORA13. The record is from Ensembl. NCBI's taxonomy places the organism in Eukaryota, Metazoa, Chordata, Mammalia, Eulipotyphla, Soricidae.
CGCCUUUGUGUUGCCCAUUUACUUUGGAAGCUAGUGAAUGUGGUGUCAAGAAAGGCGUAAAGUAAGCCCUUGGCAGGGUUUUCCUGCUUGUGACCCUGCUGUCUCAGGCACAGGAACUGCACAAGGAAUAGGA